RNAcentral lists this ribosomal RNA (253 nucleotides) under uncultured bacterium. RNAcentral's name for it is "partial 16S ribosomal RNA". It matches the Rfam family "Bacterial small subunit ribosomal RNA", at positions 524 to 776 of the family's 1533-position model. The record is from RNAcentral.
UACGUAGGGGGCCAGCGUUGCUCGGAAUUACUGGGCGUAAAGGGUUCGUAGGCGGUGUGGCAAGUCGGAAGUGAAAUCUCUGGGCUCAACCCAGAGGCUGCUCCCGAAACUGCCAUGCUAGAGUGCGGGAGAGGCGAGUGGAAUUACAGGUGUAGCGGUGAAAUGCGUAGAUAUCUGUAGGAACACCCGUGGCGAAGGCGGCUCGCUGGACCGCAACUGACGCUGAGGAACGAAAGCUAGGGGAGCAAACAGG